Molecule: ribosomal RNA, 253 nt
Filed under: uncultured bacterium
Lineage: Bacteria
Description: partial 16S ribosomal RNA
Rfam family: Bacterial small subunit ribosomal RNA
Source: RNAcentral
UACGUAGGGUCCGAGCGUUGUCCGGAGUUACUGGGCGUAAAGCGCGCGCAGGCGGCGGUGCUGGCCCGGCGUGAAAGCCCCCGGCUCAACCGGGAAGAGUCGUCGGGGACCGCACCGCUUGAGGGCGGUAGGGGCUGGUGGAAUGCCUGGUGUAGUGGUGAAAUGCGUAGAGAUCAGGCAGAACACCUGGGGCGAAGGCGGCCAGCUGGGCCGUCCCUGACGCUGAGGCGCGAAGGCGUGGGGAGCGAACGGG